CGCGUAGGCGGCUUGGUCAGUCGGAUGUGAAAGCCCCGGGCUUAACCUGGGAAUUGCAUUCGAUACUGCCGAACUCGAGUAUGGGAGAGGAAAGUGGAAUUUCCGGUGUAGCGGUGAAAUGCGUAGAUAUCGGAAGGAACACCAGUGGCGAAGGCGACUUUCUGGCCCAAUACUGACGCUGAGGUGCGAAAGCGUGGGGAGCAAACA
Molecule: ribosomal RNA, 207 nt
Filed under: uncultured bacterium
Lineage: Bacteria
Description: partial 16S ribosomal RNA
Rfam family: Bacterial small subunit ribosomal RNA
Source: RNAcentral